UAGGGAAUAUUGCACAAUGGGGGAAACCCUGAUGCAGCGACGCCGCGUGAGUGAUGAAGGCCUUCGGGUCGUAAAGCUCUGUUGUACGGGAAGAAAUGCUCAUGACUAAUACUCAUGAGUUUUGACGGUACCGUAUCAGAAAGGACCGGCUAACUUCGUGCCAGCAGCCGCGGUAAGACGAGGGGUCCUAGCGUUGUUCGGAAUCACUGGGCGUAAAGCGUAUGUAGGCGGGCUUUUAAGUCAGGUGUGAAAUCCCAUGGCUCAACCAUGGAAUUGCAUUUGAAACUGGAAGUCUUGAGUGUGGGAGAGAUUGGUAGAAUACCUGGUGUAGUGGUGAAAUACGUAGAUAUCAGGUGGAAUACCGGUGGCGAAGGCGGCCAAUUGGCCCAACACUGACGCUGAGAUACGAAAGCGUGGGGAUCAAACAGG
RNAcentral lists this ribosomal RNA (429 nucleotides) under uncultured bacterium. RNAcentral's name for it is "bacterial SSU rRNA". It matches the Rfam family "Bacterial small subunit ribosomal RNA", at positions 355 to 776 of the family's 1533-position model. The record is from RNAcentral.